This is a non-coding RNA of Pelobates cultripes (western spadefoot toad), 293 nucleotides long. Lineage: Eukaryota; Metazoa; Chordata; Amphibia; Anura; Pelobatidae. The record is from the annotation of a GenBank genome assembly.
CGACAGGCUGCGGCUAAACACCCUACCCAUCGGUAUCACCCUGCAGGCGAAGUUGAGCAUCCCUAUCAGCAAUUGCAGCCACUGAAGUGUCACCUUGCGCGCCUGCCGCACCGCGCCCACCGUGGACCGCAGUCCCUCCAAUUUGGACAGCGGCAGCCAGCAUUCCACGAGCACCGAAUCUAUUUCCAGCCCCAAAAAGCUGAGGCACCCGGUCGGGCCCUCCGUCUUAUCCGCCGCCAGUGGCAACCCGAAAUGGCCUGCCACCCAUUCAAUGGUCCUCAGCAGGUGCAGGC